Molecule: long non-coding RNA, 226 nt
Filed under: Lathyrus oleraceus (garden pea)
Lineage: Eukaryota; Viridiplantae; Streptophyta; Magnoliopsida; Fabales; Fabaceae
Description: Pisum sativum (pea) long non-coding RNA (PSAT_LNC015289)
Source: RNAcentral
AUGAUCAUGAUGGUUGUGUUAUAUGCAGUGUUAAUCCUCGAGGAUGUGUGAUUGUUAAGAGGGACAUUCAGAAAUUAGUGGAUGAAGGUGUAAUUCAGAGCCAGCAGUCCAGACAUAUGGGUAAUGAUGUAAAUGUUAUUCUACUAGUGUUCAAGACUCCCGAGCAAGUAGUUAUCCAGUUUGACAACAGCAAGAGUGAUAAUAGAUCGGUAUCACCAUUGGUAAU